RNAcentral lists this ribosomal RNA (1450 nucleotides) under Bacillus amyloliquefaciens. RNAcentral describes it as "bacterial SSU rRNA". It matches the Rfam family "Bacterial small subunit ribosomal RNA". The record is from RNAcentral. Lineage: Bacteria; Bacillati; Bacillota; Bacilli; Caryophanales; Bacillaceae.
UGCAAGUCGAGCGGACAGAUGGGAGCUUGCUCCCUGAUGUUAGCGGCGGACGGGUGAGUAACACGUGGGUAACCUGCCUGUAAGACUGGGAUAACUCCGGGAAACCGGGGCUAAUACCGGAUGGUUGUUUGAACCGCAUGGUUCAGACAUAAAAGGUGGCUUCGGCUACCACUUACAGAUGGACCCGCGGCGCAUUAGCUAGUUGGUGAGGUAACGGCUCACCAAGGCGACGAUGCGUAGCCGACCUGAGAGGGUGAUCGGCCACACUGGGACUGAGACACGGCCCAGACUCCUACGGGAGGCAGCAGUAGGGAAUCUUCCGCAAUGGACGAAAGUCUGACGGAGCAACGCCGCGUGAGUGAUGAAGGUUUUCGGAUCGUAAAGCUCUGUUGUUAGGGAAGAACAAGUGCCGUUCAAAUAGGGCGGCACCUUGACGGUACCUAACCAGAAAGCCACGGCUAACUACGUGCCAGCAGCCGCGGUAAUACGUAGGUGGCAAGCGUUGUCCGGAAUUAUUGGGCGUAAAGGGCUCGCAGGCGGUUUCUUAAGUCUGAUGUGAAAGCCCCCGGCUCAACCGGGGAGGGUCAUUGGAAACUGGGGAACUUGAGUGCAGAAGAGGAGAGUGGAAUUCCACGUGUAGCGGUGAAAUGCGUAGAGAUGUGGAGGAACACCAGUGGCGAAGGCGACUCUCUGGUCUGUAACUGACGCUGAGGAGCGAAAGCGUGGGGAGCGAACAGGAUUAGAUACCCUGGUAGUCCACGCCGUAAACGAUGAGUGCUAAGUGUUAGGGGGUUUCCGCCCCUUAGUGCUGCAGCUAACGCAUUAAGCACUCCGCCUGGGGAGUACGGUCGCAAGACUGAAACUCAAAGGAAUUGACGGGGGCCCGCACAAGCGGUGGAGCAUGUGGUUUAAUUCGAAGCAACGCGAAGAACCUUACCAGGUCUUGACAUCCUCUGACAAUCCUAGAGAUAGGACGUCCCCUUCGGGGGCAGAGUGACAGGUGGUGCAUGGUUAUGGGGGGCCCAUGCCGCGAGAUGCAGGCUUAAGUCCCGCAACGAGCCUCUCCCUUGAUAUUAGUAGCCCCCACUCAGUGUCUCAUCCUCAGGCGAUCUUCGGUGCCAAACCGUAUCCCGGUGGGGACGAAGUUAAAGCAUCAUGCCCCUUUUGACACCCGCUACACACCUGCUAGGAUGGGAUGAUCCAAAGGGCAGGGCGACGCGAGGUUGCAUCAUCCCUGCUAAUCUGUAGACAGUUCGGUCCACAAUCUGCAACUCUUCUUCCCGAAGCCGGAACCUCUGGUAAUCGCGGAUCAGCACGUCGCGGUGAAUACGUUCCCGGGCCUUGUACACACCGCCCGUCACACCAAGAGAGUUUGUAACACCCGAAGUCGGUGAAGUAACCUUUAUGGAGCCAGCCGCCGAAGGUGGGACAGAUGAUUGGGGUGAAGUCG